GAUGAAGAACGCAGCGAAAUGCGAUAAGUAAUGUGAAUUGCAGAAUUCAGUGAAUCAUCGAAUCUUUGAACGCACAUUGCGCCCCCUGGUAUUCCGGGGGGCAUGCCUGUUCGAGCGUCAUUUCAACCUUCAAGCUCUGCUUGGUAUUGGGCCUGCGCUGGUCUCCCAGCGGGCCUCAAAAUCAGUGGCGGCGCCAUCUGGCUCUAAGCGUAGUAAUUCUUCUCGCUAUGGAGUCCUGGUGGAUGCUUGCCAUCAACCCCCAAUUUUUCUAUGGUUGACCUCGGAUCAGGUAGGGAUACCCGCUGAACUUAAGCAUAUCAAUAAGCGGAGGA
This 332-nucleotide unclassified non-coding RNA is filed under the name soil metagenome. RNAcentral's name for it is "partial contains 5.8S ribosomal RNA, internal transcribed spacer 2, and large subunit ribosomal RNA". The stretch from base 1 to 120 matches the Rfam family "5.8S ribosomal RNA", at positions 35 to 154 of the family's 154-position model. The record is from RNAcentral.